RNAcentral lists this ribosomal RNA (235 nucleotides) under uncultured bacterium. RNAcentral describes it as "partial 16S ribosomal RNA". It matches the Rfam family "Bacterial small subunit ribosomal RNA", at positions 99 to 334 of the family's 1533-position model. The record is from RNAcentral.
CGAACGGGUGAGUAACACGUGGGCAACCUGCCCUCAGCUCUGGGAUAACUCCGGGAAACCGGUGCUAAUACUGGAUAUCGACUUCUGCCUCGCAUGGGGUGUUGUUGAAAGUUUUUCGGCUGGGGAUGGGCCCGCGGCCUAUCAGCUUGUUGGUGGGGUGAUGGCCUACCAAGGCGACGACGGGUAGCCGGCCUGAGAGGGCGACCGGCCACACUGGGACUGAGACACGGCCCAG